GAUGAACGCUAGCUACAGGCUUAACACAUGCAAGUCGUGGGGCAGCAUCGGAGAAGCUUCGGCUUAUCCGGAUGGCGACCGGCGAAUGGGUGAGUAACACGUAUCCAACCUGCCGCCCAGUGAGGAAUAGGCUCCCGAAAGGGAAAUUAAUGCCUCAUGAGGUGUGUUUCUGACAUCAGAGACAUACGAAAGCCGCGAGGCGCUGGGUGAUGGGGAUGCGUCCGAUUAGCUUGACGGCGGGGUAACGGCCCACCGUGGCAUCGAUCGGUAGGGGUUCUGAGAGGAAGGUCCCCCCACAUUGGUACUGAGACACGGACCAGACUCCUACGGGAGGCAGCAGUGAGGAAUAUUGGUCAAUGGGCGCAGGCCUGAACCAGCCAAGUCGCGUGAGGGAAGACGGUCCUACGGGAUUGUAAACCUCUUUUGUCGGGGAUAACGUGCGGGACGGGUCCCGUAUUGAGAGUACCCGAAGAAAAAGCAUCGGCUAACUCCGUGCCAGCAGCCGC
RNAcentral lists this ribosomal RNA (506 nucleotides) under uncultured bacterium. RNAcentral's name for it is "bacterial SSU rRNA". It matches the Rfam family "Bacterial small subunit ribosomal RNA", at positions 28 to 518 of the family's 1533-position model. The record is from RNAcentral.